Molecule: ribosomal RNA, 253 nt
Filed under: uncultured bacterium
Lineage: Bacteria
Description: partial 16S ribosomal RNA
Rfam family: Bacterial small subunit ribosomal RNA
Source: RNAcentral
UACAUGGGGUGCAAACGUUGCUCGGAAUUAUUGGGCGUAAAGCGCGCGUAGGCGGUUACUCAAGUCGGAUGUGAAAGCCCUCGGCUUAACUGAGGAAGUGCACCCGAAACUGAGUAGCUAGAGUACUAAAGAGGGUCGCGGAAUUCCCGGUGUAGAGGUGAAAUUCGUAGAUAUCGGGAGGAACACCAGUGGCGAAGGCGGCUCUCUGGGCAGAUACUGACGCUGAGACGCGAAAGCAUGGGGAGCAAACAGG